RNAcentral lists this ribosomal RNA (253 nucleotides) under uncultured bacterium. RNAcentral's name for it is "partial 16S ribosomal RNA". It matches the Rfam family "Bacterial small subunit ribosomal RNA", at positions 524 to 776 of the family's 1533-position model. The record is from RNAcentral.
UACGUAGGCAGCGAGCGUUGUUCGGAGUUACUGGGCGUAAAGCGUGCGUAGGCGGUUUUGUAAGUUUGGUGUGAAAUCUCCCGGCUCAACUGGGAGGGUGCGCCGAAAACUGCAAGGCUGGAGUGUGGGAGAGGUAGGCGGAAUUCCUGGUGUAGCGGUGAAAUGCGUAGAUAUGUGGAGGAACACCGAUGGCGAAGGCAGCCCCCUGGGUUAACACUGACGCUCAGGCACGAAAGCGUGGGGAGCAAACAGG